This 73-nucleotide transfer RNA is filed under the name Parabacteroides distasonis. Its description in RNAcentral is "tRNA-Phe". It matches the Rfam family "tRNA". From Rfam's summary of the family: Transfer RNA (tRNA) molecules are approximately 80 nucleotides in length. RNAcentral also lists the same sequence under 2 other names. The record is from RNAcentral. Lineage: Bacteria; Pseudomonadati; Bacteroidota; Bacteroidia; Bacteroidales; Tannerellaceae.
GGAAACAUAGCUCAGUUGGUAGAGCGUCUGGUUGAAGCCCAGAAGGUCGUAGGUUCGAUUCCUGCUGUUUCCG